Non-coding RNA from Sus scrofa (pig), 5433 nucleotides. The record is from RefSeq and is a predicted model, not a curated record. NCBI's taxonomy places the organism in Eukaryota, Metazoa, Chordata, Mammalia, Artiodactyla, Suidae.
AUUUCCUUGAGGGUCACAUUCACUUAGCAAAUGCUCCCAAGGCUAUACUCUAUAUUGCAAACUUUUUUCCCCCGGUAUUUACUAAAUAUGAGUCCUGGUAGACCCUGGGUGUUGGUUCUAAGAUAUAACAGCAAGUGUAACAGCAAGGUUCCUCAUAUUAUUGAGGUGGGGGCAGGCAAUAAUCAAAUUAGUAAUUUCAGAUCAUGGUAAAUGCUUUGAAGAAAAUAAAACAUCUUUGUUGUAUGGGCUCAGGGUGGGGAAUGGACAUUGGAGCAGCAAUCUGAAUAAGGAGGAGCUAGCAAAGCAAAGGCAAAAGGAAACCCUUCCAAGCAAAGAGAACAUCAGUACAACCCUGAGGUCUCUGAUUUAAUGCUGAUUAGGGGUUUAAGAAAUGUUUGACAAAAAAUUAGUGUUCUCAAAAUUCUAGUACAAGGUAAAGUUAAGAGUCCAAAGAUCAAAGAGCUAUACUGGAAAAUUUGUUCUUGGCUUUAAACGAAGAUGCAAAAAGAAUGUGUAUGGACAUAUAUUUAUAUGUCUCACAAGGGUCUUUUAAAAAAGCCUUUCAUGUCCUUUAUCCUUUAAACUUUUAUAACAUAGGUUGAAAGCAUGAUACAAUCUUUAACUUCCAGCUCAUGUACUGAAAGAUCUUUUUCUCAGAACUAAUGAAGACUUCCGUUCUGCUGGGAUGUAAUUCACCUCCCUUGUUCCAGGAUUGGAAAUAAGAAUGCUGAGUACCUCUAAAUGCAACUCUGUAAAAGAAAAAUACGUGGGCACAUGGACUAGGCAGGUGGGGCGUAUAGGACUGGGGCAGGGUUGUUUCGAUUUUCCUUUUUUGUUAUUAAAGCUGGAAAGAAAAGACUACAUUGUGCACAACUGUGCGAUCUCCUUGUCCUCAACGUUAAUAAAUGUGUUUUUAACUGACGUUUCUUUCCCACGUCUAGUAUCACCACCACCUACAACCUCUCUAAGCCACAGUUAAAGUUGAAAAGUGCACGAGGUCUUUACAAACGUACAGUGAGUGCGUCUGCUCACGUACAAUCCACGUGCACCCUUCUUUCCCUGGACAGAAUUUCUUGGGGAUCCUUCAGGCCCCCGGCCAUAUUUCUCCCCAGGCUCUUAUUAAAACCAGGUGCGCAGGAGGAAGGCCUUUUUAGAUUAAAAAAAAAAGCCUUCUCUUGACCCAAAGCUCCCCCCUCCGGUGUGUUUUCUAGAGGGGCUUCUUGAACUAAGCAAAGAGAAAGCAGGCGCCAGGUCCCAGCCGGGCGAGCGGGGCUGCACUUGUUGAGAAGGGCAGGCGGCGGGGCUGGGCCCGGGCAGGGUAGACAAGGACAGAAAGUGAGGCGGGGUGGGGCGGCAGCGGCAAACAGCCGGGGACCAGGGCCGUGGCCGCCCGGUGCCGCGCAGGGGCGUUGUCCCCGCGCGCUGAGAGGCCCCCAGACCCACCGCGCUCUGUAGGGCGGAAGAGAAGGAGCGGAAGGGAAGCAGCGCAGUCGCCGCGCCCUGAACUUGAAACCCCGGCGGCCUGCGCCUCGGGCGCUUAGAGGAGCCGCCCGAGACCCCGACCUUUCCCGGGCCCCGCGCCGGCUUCCAGAACAUACGUGGGAAAUCUGAGGAACAAAGGAGCUAUGUAACUUGCCCAAAUGACACCAGUAAUAAAUGGUAGAGCUGGGAUUUGAACCAAGCAGUCCUGCUCCAGAGUCCGUGAUCCUAAAUGGUAUAUAUACUGAAGCAGUGCCUUCAAGAUUAAAAGGGAAAAGUACAUGCAACCUGGAACUCUAUAUCCGGCCAAAUUAUCACUCCAGUCUGACUUUCCAGCUUUGCAGUGUGGGGUGCUGUUGAGGUGAGUGGCUAUACACCAGAAUCCUAGGGGAAGACCCUGAUUGGUCCUCCAUGGGUGCAGGUGAAUGGUACUAUGAUUGGCCAAGCCUCAGUCAGCUGCCAGAAAAGGGAAGAUGGGGAAUAAACAGCUGGGCCACCAAAAAUAAGACCUAUUACAUCCCAGCAUCAAUGUACCUACCAAAUGUGCUCGAGUGAAGAUUUACUAGAGCCUGGGCCAAUUGGCAGUGUAAGUAAAAAUGUCUCAUAAAUGCUAAAGCACCAUGAAAUGUUGGUUGUCAGUACUAAAUAUAAGUCUAUAUUGGCCCUGCCUAGCCAAACUGCAAUUACUCCUGGAUCCUUAGUUCUCUGAAUGUUUUAAGUUUUUCUUUCCUCCUAGCAGAUUCAUUUGUCACAGUUUCCCCGGGUAUUGGCCUCUUUCUUCUAACAGAGUCUGCUUCCAACUGCAGUGAAAAAUUUGCUCAUGUCAUUUUUCAAAGGAAGUCAGGAGGGGGAAAAAAACGUCCACAGUUGGAAUAGUUCGAAACUAAAAACAUAAUGGAUGUAUGUGCGUGUAAUCAGAUUGUUCUCAGCAUCUUUCACUCUACCGUUUCUCUAAUCUAUUGAGUCACUUUCUUGGCCUUGUUGCGCCAGUCCUCAAAUAAGCCAAAAAUAUUUUGCUGAUACUAGCUGCAAUUUAUUGGGUGAUAGGAUAUUUGCAAUGUACUUUGAGACUGAGCUUAUAGCCCCAAAGAUUAGGCAAAUAAUUAGUAGAGAAAUAUUUUUGCCAUCUCGAAAAAGCAAACUUCAGAUUAAUUAAGUCUAUGUUGGAAUCUCACAUUUUUAUAGGCCUACUUUAGACGUUCUGAUUUUUAAUUAGGUGUGUGGUGUUCCUUGACUGCUGACAAUGUGAAGUAGGCUGAUGCCUAAAUAUGCGUCUGAUAAACUUCUCAUUGAUGUCAACACUUGAAUACCUAAUGCUACACUGAACUUUGUAUUCAAAGAUAGUAUGGAUGAAUGCUAACCACUUGUGAGUCUGAGUUUUUCUAAAAAGACCUUAAGUCAGAUCUUGGUAAUGUUCCCCCUCAUAGACACUAGUAAAAUCUUAGCACACGGCCUUCACUUCAUUAGCACAGAAUAAUCAAAACAAGACAUUACCAGGUGAUUACCCAAGGCCAUUCUCCGUCCACUUUUUUCCUUGCCAGCUUCCCAGGACAGAGGUUGAAAAUUGCAGAUAUUCUCAUUCCCAGCCUCCUCUGCAGUUAACAAUAGCCAUGUGGUCCAGGUCAGGCCAGUUGGAACCAAGAGAGAGAUGGCUGAGGGGCUUGGAGGAAAGAUUUUCUUACCUCAGUGAAAGACAAGACGCCUGGGUAGAGAGCCUUUAUAUUUCCAUCCUUCCUGCUUCCUUCCUGUUUGGGUUACAUUUGAGAAGGUAAUUCCAGGUGCUGUAGCAGCCAUCUGUGACCAUCACUAAAACACUGAGGAUGACAAAGCAAAAAAAAAAAAAAAACCUUAGUCACUGGGGAUAUCAUUGAGCCACUACACCAAGUGGAAUGGCCUGCUUCCACAUGUCAUGUCAAGGGAAAUUAAUUAUCUCUACAUUUCAGCCACUGGGCAUCCUAAUCGCUUUCAACCAAAGGCAUGCUUUAAAUAAUUCAAAGAUAUGAAUUAUUUAUCCAGUAGUCAUUCUAGGCUCUCCCCUUCUUGACGGUACCCAGAUUUUUAUUUGGGUAUCCCGCUGCUCUAUGCAUCCCCUGUGGCCAGUGGAAGCAGAUUCUGCCCCCAUUUAACAGGGGUGAUCACUGGUGGCCUUAGGUCAGUCAAUACAUUCCAUUCUCCCGGCAUUGAAUGAAAAUUGAUUCAAAGGUUAGCUGCAACUUAAGUUGUCCAUGCAGAGUGAAACUCUGGAUUCUUUCCGGACAAGAUGUGCUCCUUCUCAGCCACUCAUGUGGAAGACUGGAACACAACAGCCAUUCUGCCACCAUGGAAGAAGUACAUCCCUCAGAAGGCAGAACAGAAAGACAAAAAGGCACUAACUUCAUGCUAACCUCACUGAGGUGCUGGAUCUCUCUAGUUUUGGAAUUGCCAUUUCAUGAGCUCGUAAAUCUUCUUUAUUAAAGUCAGUUUGAGUCAGAUUCUCUGUUCUUUGCAACUUCAGAAUGCAUUCUGAUUUGAGGUACUUCCUAUCUGGACUAUUAGGUAAGAGGCAAAGAGGAAAACCAAACGGCAGUCUUUCAAGAGGCAAAAGCAAAAACACUUUUCUAUUCCUGAACCAUAUUAUGUAGGUGUGACAUCAUCCACCUUUUCUUCCCUCAUCAAAGAGAGAGAAAAAAAUGAUGUAUUGAACUGUCACGUGUAAUGUGCUCUGCUACUUACUCUGUUGGGCUUUGGGCCUUGGAUUCUGAAUAAGGAAAUGGGGACAAUAAUAGUAUCUCCCUCGUAGGGAGACUCUGAGAUUAAAUGAUAUAAUAUGUGUAAAGUGCCUCAAACAGGGCCCGUUCAUAGCAAGCACUUGGGAGAUACUAAUUACUAUGAUUAUAUGAAUCCUCAGUCCACUAGGGCUUGUGCUAGAGAAGAGCAGUAACUCCUGCCAAAUCUUCCAAAUGAUCUCUGUACAAGACAUCAUCUUUUUGAAGAGCUCAUGCCUCUUCUUUUGGUCAAAAGAGAGCAAAGUAAGUUUCCUGCAGAUUUCUGAGAAGCCCUCAUCCUGCCUUAGGUCAAGCACAGAUCUCUCAUUCAAAGCUCAGCCCUUUCAGAAGUGCAUGGCACAUCGCUUCACAGCUUCCAUGAAGAUAGGUGCAGGACACCCCCGUACCCCAGGAAUUCAGGACUAGCCCUGUUCAUGAUCGCCCACCAGCCCAGCAUGAGGAAAAGUCACCCUGGGGGAUGUUUGUACUUGGCCACUGCCCACCUCACCCCAGAGUCCCCCAGGACAGACCAGCAUGGAUAGUAAACCAGAAGGAAAGGGAGACACCCAGAGACUCAGCAGCCUUUGUAAACAGGGUUCAUGGAACGGCUGCCUCAGUGAUUUCAUCCCUGGCCAAGGACACCGUAAAAAAGAGAAAUAUUCAGUGAUCACCAUUUCGCAGUGCUGUAAAAGACUUAGAAUCGGGGCCCAGAAAGCUCGAGUUCCAGCAACAUUCUGCUCUGACAGGACCUUAAAAUGCCUUCUGGAGUCAAGUCAGGGAGAAAAAUUCUUAAGGUAACUGAGUGCAGCAAAUAACUAAGUAGGAAGAAUUCACUCUAAUUGCCAAAAAGGAAUAUGGCCAAAGCUUCCAAGGAACAGGGAAAAAAGUGAAAAAGAAAGCAGAAACAUUAUGAUAAGAAGAGAAGGGAUGUUCAUUUUCAAACAGAAGAUAAGAUAUGGAUUAAAGUUCAUCCUCAGAAUAAUGUAGCAAGAAACUUUAUAGCCAAGCUGACUCCAACCGGAAAGGUCCCUGUUUCUCGGAUCUCUUUGAAUUAUAGGGAAAACUAAUUGGAUCUUCAUGUUUACCGUGGAGGAAACCAAGUGUUACUCGGGAUGUAAAUCCUGGAGGUACUUUAAAAAAGCAACACUGACCUUUACAAGCCUUUAAACGUAUAGAUCUGUAAGGAGAAAAAAAAUUGAUUUCCUGACCU